This 65-nucleotide transfer RNA is filed under the name Dipodomys ordii (Ord's kangaroo rat). It matches the Rfam family "tRNA". Rfam says of the family: Transfer RNA (tRNA) molecules are approximately 80 nucleotides in length. Their secondary structure includes four short double-helical elements and three loops (D, anti-codon, and T loops). Lineage: Eukaryota; Metazoa; Chordata; Mammalia; Rodentia; Heteromyidae. The record is from Rfam by way of RNAcentral.
GGUGGAUCAGUGGUAGAGCACUUGCCUUACAUGCAUGAGGCCCUGGGUUUGAUUCCCCAGCACCA